RNAcentral lists this ribosomal RNA (253 nucleotides) under uncultured bacterium. Its description in RNAcentral is "partial 16S ribosomal RNA". It matches the Rfam family "Bacterial small subunit ribosomal RNA", at positions 524 to 776 of the family's 1533-position model. The record is from RNAcentral.
UACGUAGGGUGCAAGCGUUGUCCGGAAUUAUUGGGCGUAAAGAGCUCGUAGGCGGUUUGUCACGUCGGGAGUGAAAACUCGGGGCUUAACCCCGAGCCUGCUUCCGAUACGGGCAGACUAGAGGUAGGCAGGGGAGAGCGGAACUCCUGGUGUAGCGGUGGAAUGCGCAGAUAUCAGGAAGAACACCGGUGGCGAAGGCGGCUCUCUGGGCCUUACCUGACGCUGAGGAGCGAAAGCGUGGGGAGCGAACAGG